AGAGUUUGAUCCUGGCUCAGGAUGAACGCUGGCGGCGUGCUUAACACAUGCAAGUCGAACGAAGCACUACCGACGGAACUUUUCGGAGGGAAGAUGGUAAUGACUGAGUGGCGGACGGGUGAGUAACGCGUGGGCAACCUGCCCCAUAGAGGGGGACAACAGCUGGAAACGGCUGCUAAUACCGCAUAACAAGGAGAGAGCGCAUGUUCUUUUCUUCAAAGAUUUAUCGCUAUGGGAUGGACCCGCGUCUGAUUAGCUGGUUGGUGAGGUAACGGCUCACCAAGGCGACGAUCAGUAGCCGGCUUGAGAGAGUGGACGGCCACAUUGGGACUGAGACACGGCCCAGACUCCUACGGGAGGCAGCAGUGGGGAAUAUUGCACAAUGGGGGAAACCCUGAUGCAGCGACGCCGCGUGAGUGAAGAAGUAUUUCGGUAUGUAAAGCUCUAUCAGCAGGGAAGAUAAUGACGGUACCUGACUAAGAAGCCCCGGCUAACUACGUGCCAGCAGCCGCGGUAAUACGUAGGGGGCAAGCGUUAUCCGGAUUUACUGGGUGUAAAGGGAGCGUAGGCGGCCUGGCAAGCCUGAUGUGAAAUACCGGGGCCCAACCCCGGGGCUGCAUUGGGAACUGCCAGGCUGGAGUGCCGGAGAGGCAGGCGGAAUUCCUAGUGUAGCGGUGAAAUGCGUAGAUAUUAGGAGGAACACCAGUGGCGAAGGCGGCUGUCUGGUCUGCAACUGACGCUGAGGCUCGAAAGCAUGGGUAGCGAACAGGAUUAGAUACCCUGGUAGUCCAUACCGUAAACGAUGA
This 806-nucleotide ribosomal RNA is filed under the name uncultured bacterium. Its description in RNAcentral is "bacterial SSU rRNA". It matches the Rfam family "Bacterial small subunit ribosomal RNA", at positions 8 to 812 of the family's 1533-position model. The record is from RNAcentral.